UCAACUUUGACCCCAGUAGCGAAAUCGCCUGGUUCUGCAGCUCCUCCUCUCUGCAGAGCAAAGUGAGAUCUCCAUUCAAACACAUCCAAAACUCCGCAGGAUGAGACUAAAUUCUCUGCUAUUCCGCCGCUGAUCAUCACUUCGCUCCAUCGAAAGGAAAGUGACAGUGGAAACUGAAUCGAUUUCAAUCGUUAAGAGAAGUAAAUAGGUAAAUAAGUGGAUAAGAAUUCCGCCCCGUGAUACUGACUAGUGGUUGCUAGCAGGCUACUCCAACAGACUGCAAACAUGGCGAGCGCCUCAUACCAUAUCUCUAAUCUAUUGGAAAAAAUGACAUCAAGCGACAAGGAUUUCAGAUUCAUGGCCACCAACGACCUGAUGUCGGAGCUGCAGAAAGACUCCAUCAAGCUGGACGAUGACAGUGAACGCAAGGUGGUCAAGAUGAUCCUCAAGCUACUGGAAGACAAAACGGAGAGGUCCAGAAUCUGGCCGUCAAGUGCCUAGGUCCGCUGGUCAGUAAGUGUGAAGGAGUACCAGGUCGAGACUAUAGUGGACACACU
This is a non-coding RNA of Salmo salar (Atlantic salmon), 557 nucleotides long. NCBI's taxonomy places the organism in Eukaryota, Metazoa, Chordata, Actinopteri, Salmoniformes, Salmonidae. The record is from RefSeq and is a predicted model, not a curated record.